This 434-nucleotide ribosomal RNA is filed under the name uncultured bacterium. RNAcentral describes it as "bacterial SSU rRNA". It matches the Rfam family "Bacterial small subunit ribosomal RNA", at positions 351 to 782 of the family's 1533-position model. The record is from RNAcentral.
GCAGUAGGGAAUAUUGGGCAAUGGGCGAGAGCCUGACCCAGCCAUGCCGCGUGCAGGAAGAAGGCUUUCUGAGUCGUAAACUGCUUUUGACAGGGAAGAAUAAGCUGGACGUGUCCAGUGAUGACGGUACCUGCAGAAUAAGCACCGGCUAACUCCGUGCCAGCAGCCGCGGUAAUACGGAGGGUGCGAGCGUUGUCCGGAUUUAUUGGGUUUAAAGGGUGCGUAGGCGGCCGUUUAAGUCUGGGGUGAAAGCCCGCUGCUCAACAGCGGAACUGCCCUGGAUACUGGAUGGCUUGAGUACAGACGAGGUUGGCGGAAUGGACAGAGUAGCGGUGAAAUGCAUAGAUACUGUCCAGAACCCCGAUUGCGAAGGCAGCUGACUAGGCUGUUACUGACGCUGAGGCACGAAAGCGUGGGGAGCGAACAGGAUUAGA